GACGAACGCUGGCGGCGUGCCUAACACAUGCAAGUCGAGCGAUGAAGUUUCCUUCGGGAAAUAGAUUAGCGGCGGACGGGUGAGUAACACGUGGGUAACCUGCCUUGUAGAGGGGAAUAGCCUUCCGAAAGGAAGAUUAAUACCGCAUAAUAUUGUACUUUCGCAUGAAAGAACAAUUAAAGGAGCAAUCCGCUACAAGAUGGACCCGCGGCGCAUUAGCUAGUUGGUAAGGUAAUGGCUUACCAAGGCGACGAUGCGUAGCCGACCUGAGAGGGUGAUCGGCCACAUUGGGACUGAGACACGGCCCAGACUCCUACGGGAGGCAGCAGUGGGGAAUAUUGCACAAUGGGGGAAACCCUGAUGCAGCAACGCCGCGUGAGUGAUGACGGUCUUCGGAUUGUAAAGCUCUG
RNAcentral lists this ribosomal RNA (410 nucleotides) under uncultured bacterium. RNAcentral's name for it is "bacterial SSU rRNA". It matches the Rfam family "Bacterial small subunit ribosomal RNA", at positions 28 to 435 of the family's 1533-position model. The record is from RNAcentral.